AACGUAUCUGGGUGUGGUAACUCCACCACCGUUGGCGUUGGUUCAGCCAACGGGGGCAGAGUUCCUGUCCCUAGAUGCGAC
Molecule: microRNA precursor, 81 nt
Filed under: Danaus plexippus plexippus
Lineage: Eukaryota; Metazoa; Arthropoda; Insecta; Lepidoptera; Nymphalidae
Description: mir-2765 microRNA precursor family
Rfam family: mir-2765 microRNA precursor family
Source: Rfam by way of RNAcentral